This 293-nucleotide ribosomal RNA is filed under the name uncultured eukaryote. RNAcentral describes it as "partial 18S ribosomal RNA". It matches the Rfam family "Eukaryotic small subunit ribosomal RNA", at positions 6 to 299 of the family's 1831-position model. The record is from RNAcentral.
GGUUGAUCCUGCCAGUAGUCAUAUGCUUGUCUCAAAGAUUAAGCCAUGCAUGUCUAAGUAUAAACAAUUCUAUACUGUGAAACUGCGAAUGGCUCAUUAAAUCAGUUAUAGUUUAUUUGAUAGUACCUUACUACUUGGAUAACCGUGGUAAUUCUAGAGCUAAUACAUGCACAAGAACCCAACUUCCGGAAGGGUUGUAUUUAUUAGAUAAAAAACCAACCUGGGCAACCAGUUCAUUGGUGAUUCAUAGUAACUCGUCGAAUCGCAUGGCCUUGCGCCGGCGAUGUUUCAUU